GCCGAGGUGGCGGAAUUUGGUAGACGCGCUAGCUUGAGGGGCUAGUGGCCUUCGGGCUGUGCGGGUUCGAGUCCCGCCCUCGGCACCA
Molecule: transfer RNA, 88 nt
Filed under: Chloroflexota bacterium
Lineage: Bacteria; Bacillati; Chloroflexota
Description: tRNA-Leu
Rfam family: tRNA
About the family: Transfer RNA (tRNA) molecules are approximately 80 nucleotides in length. Their secondary structure includes four short double-helical elements and three loops (D, anti-codon, and T loops). Further hydrogen bonds mediate the characteristic L-shaped molecular structure. tRNAs have two regions of fundamental functional importance: the anti-codon, which is responsible for specific mRNA codon recognition, and the 3' end, to which the tRNAs corresponding amino acid is attached (by aminoacyl-tRNA synthetases). tRNAs cope with the degeneracy of the genetic code in two manners: having more than one tRNA (with a specific anti-codon) for a particular amino acid; and 'wobble' base-pairing, i.e. permitting non-standard base-pairing at the 3rd anti-codon position.
Source: RNAcentral